This 869-nucleotide ribosomal RNA is filed under the name uncultured bacterium. RNAcentral describes it as "bacterial SSU rRNA". It matches the Rfam family "Bacterial small subunit ribosomal RNA", at positions 531 to 1397 of the family's 1533-position model. The record is from RNAcentral.
GGUGCGAGCGUUGUCCGGAAUUACUGGGCGUAAAGGGCUCGUAGGUGGUUUGUCGCGUCGUCUGUGAAAUUCCGGGGCUUAACUCCGGGCGUGCAGGCGAUACGGGCAUAACUUGAGUACUGUAGGGGUAACUGGAAUUCCUGGUGUAGCGGUGAAAUGCGCAGAUAUCAGGAGGAACACCGAUGGCGAAGGCAGGUUACUGGGCAGUUACUGACGCUGAGGAGCGAAAGCAUGGGUAGCGAACAGGAUUAGAUACCCUGGUAGUCCAUGCCGUAAACGGUGGGCGCUAGGUGUGAGGGUCUUUUCACGACUUUCGUGCCGUAGCUAACGCAUUAAGCGCCCCGCCUGGGGAGUACGGCCGCAAGGCUAAAACUCAAAGGAAUUGACGGGGGCCCGCACAAGCGGCGGAGCAUGUGGAUUAAUUCGAUGCAACGCGAAGAACCUUACCUGGGCUUGACAUACACCGGAUUGGGCUAGAGAUAGUCUUUCCCUUUGUGGCUGGUGUACAGGUGGUGCAUGGUUGUCGUCAGCUCGUGUCGUGAGAUGUUGGGUUAAGUCCCGCAACGAGCGCAACCCUUGUCUUAUGUUGCCAGCAUUUGGUUGGGGACUCAUGAGAGACUGCCGGGGUCAACUCGGAGGAAGGUGGGGAUGACGUCAAAUCAUCACUGCCCCUUAUGUCCAGGGCUUCACACAUGCUACAAUGGUCGGUACAACGCGCAGCGACACUGUGAGGUGGAGCGAAUCGCUGAAAGCCGGCCUUAGUUCGGAUUGGGGUCUGCAACUCGACCCCAUGAAGUCGGAGUCGCUAGUAAUCGCAGAUCAGCAAUGCUGCGGUGAAUACGUUCCCGGGCCUUGUACACACCGCCCGU